ACCACCACCACCACCACGACGUCCUCUUCUCUUUCUUCUCUCUCUCUCUCUCUCGAAAUGGGAAACCUUGACAAAGCAAUUGCAGCCAUAUCCCCCGUUGCUGUUGCUUCUCCUUUCUCUUAUUCUCCUUGUUCAUCUCCUUCCCCAUCUUCCCAGUCUUCUCCUGGUCUUGAUCCUUCUCUUUCUCAGUCUUCUCCAACUCCUGCUCCUCCUCCUUCUGUUGUUCUCAGCCCUUGUGCUGCAUGCAAAAUCC
This 253-nucleotide unclassified non-coding RNA is filed under the name Hevea brasiliensis (rubber tree). Lineage: Eukaryota; Viridiplantae; Streptophyta; Magnoliopsida; Malpighiales; Euphorbiaceae. The record is from RNAcentral.